UACGUAGGGUGCGAGCGUUGCCCGGAUUUAUUGGGCGUAAAGGGCGCGUAGGCGGCCACGCACGUCCGUUGUGAAAUCGCCCGGCUCAACUGGGCGGGGUCGGCGGAUACGGCGUGGCUGGAGCAAGCUAGGGGGCAAUGGAAUUCCCGGUGUAGUGGUGAAAUGCGUAGAGAUCGGGAGGAACACCAGUGGCGAAGGCGGCCGGCUGGGGGUGACCUGACGCUGAGGAGCGAAAGCCAGGGGAGCAAACGGG
RNAcentral lists this ribosomal RNA (253 nucleotides) under uncultured bacterium. RNAcentral describes it as "partial 16S ribosomal RNA". It matches the Rfam family "Bacterial small subunit ribosomal RNA", at positions 524 to 776 of the family's 1533-position model. The record is from RNAcentral.